UGGGGAGCAUGCUCUGGAUUCAGCGGCGGAGGGUGAGUAAUGCCUAGGAAUCUGCCUGGUAGUGGGGGAUAACGUCCGGAAACGGGCGCUAAUACCGCAUACGUCCUGAGGGAGAAAGUGGGGGAUCUUCGGACCUCACGCUAUCAGAUGAGCCUAGGUCGGAUUAGCUAGUUGGUGGGGUAAAGGCCUACCAAGGCGACGAUCCGUAACUGGUCUGAGAGGAUGAUCAGUCACACUGGAACUGAGACACGGUCCAGACUCCUACGGGAGGCAGCAGUGGGGAAUAUUGGACAAUGGGCGAAAGCCUGAUCCAGCCAUGCCGCGUGUGUGAAGAAGGUCUUCGGAUUGUAAAGCACUUUAAGUUGGGAGGAAGGGCAGUAAGUUAAUACCUUGCUGUUUUGACGUUACCAACAGAAUAAGCACCGGCUAACUACGGCCCAGCCGCAAU
Molecule: ribosomal RNA, 448 nt
Filed under: Pseudomonas aeruginosa
Lineage: Bacteria; Pseudomonadati; Pseudomonadota; Gammaproteobacteria; Pseudomonadales; Pseudomonadaceae
Description: bacterial SSU rRNA
Rfam family: Bacterial small subunit ribosomal RNA
Source: RNAcentral